RNAcentral lists this small RNA (114 nucleotides) under Klebsiella pneumoniae. Its description in RNAcentral is "partial RtT sRNA". It matches the Rfam family "RtT RNA", at positions 1 to 111 of the family's 130-position model. Rfam says of the family: This family represents a bacterial cis-regulatory element known as RtT RNA. The exact function of RtT is unknown although it is thought that it may be involved in changing the cellular response in relation to amino acid starvation. Lineage: Bacteria; Pseudomonadati; Pseudomonadota; Gammaproteobacteria; Enterobacterales; Enterobacteriaceae. The record is from RNAcentral.
UGCAUCUGGGGCCUGUGAGGAUGAGAACCUCCGGGGGCAGGAGGUUCGACUCGAGCGAAGCGAGAGAACGUUGCGUCAGCAACGGCCCGCAGGGCGAGCCACGAAGUGGUGAGU